Molecule: transfer RNA, 67 nt
Filed under: pig gut metagenome
Rfam family: tRNA
About the family: Transfer RNA (tRNA) molecules are approximately 80 nucleotides in length. Their secondary structure includes four short double-helical elements and three loops (D, anti-codon, and T loops).
Source: RNAcentral
CGGGUGUAGUUCACCGGUAGAACACUAGCCUUCCAAGCUGGUUGAGUGGGUUCGACUCCCAUCACCC